RNAcentral lists this non-coding RNA (448 nucleotides) under uncultured bacterium. RNAcentral describes it as "bacterial SSU rRNA". It matches the Rfam family "Bacterial small subunit ribosomal RNA", at positions 8 to 494 of the family's 1533-position model. The record is from RNAcentral. RNAcentral also lists the same sequence under 1 other name.
AGAGUUUGAUCCUGGCUCAGAACGAACGCUGGCGGUAUGCCUAACACAUGCAAGUCGAACGGGAUCCGGACUUCGGUUCGGUGAGAGUGGCGGACGGGUGAGUAACGCGUGGGAACCUGCCCAGUGGUGGGGGAUAACUGCGGGAAACUGCAGCUAAUACCGCAUGAGCCCGAGAGGGGAAAGAUUUAUCGCCAUUGGAGGGGCCCGCGUUCGAUUAGGUAGUUGGUGGGGUAACGGCCCACCAAGCCGACGAUCGAUAGCUGGUCUGAGAGGAUGAUCAGCCACACUGGGACUGAGAUACGGCCCAGACUCCUACGGGAGGCAGCAGUGGGGAAUAUUGGACAAUGGGGGCAACCCUGAUCCAGCAAUGCCGCGUGAGUGAUGAAGGCCUUCGGGUUGUAAAGCUCUUUGCCAGGGACGAUGAUGACGGUACCUGAGAUUAGGCCCA